This 1102-nucleotide ribosomal RNA is filed under the name uncultured Nitrosospira sp. RNAcentral's name for it is "bacterial SSU rRNA". It matches the Rfam family "Bacterial small subunit ribosomal RNA", at positions 137 to 1235 of the family's 1533-position model. The record is from RNAcentral. Lineage: Bacteria; Pseudomonadati; Pseudomonadota; Betaproteobacteria; Nitrosomonadales; Nitrosomonadaceae.
UGGGGAAUAACGCAUCGAAAGGUGUGCUAAUACCGCAUAAUCUCCACGGAGAAAAGCAGGGGAUCGCAAGACCUUGCGCUUUUGGAGCGGCCGAUGUCUGAUUAGCUAGUUGGUGAGGUAAAGGCUUACCAAGGCUUCGAUCAGUAGCUGGUCUGAGAGGACGACCAGCCACACUGGGACUKAGACACGGCCCAGACUCCUACGGGAGGCAGCAGUGGGGAAUUUUGGACAAUGGGGGAAACCCUGAUCCAGCCAUGCCGCGUGAGUGAAGAGGGCCUUCGGGUUGUAAAGCUCUUUCAGCCGGAACGAAACGGUCACGGUUAAUACCCGUGAUCACUGACGGUACCSGAAGRAGAAGCACCGGCUAACUACGUGCCAGCAGCCGCGGUAAUACGUAGGGUGCGAGCGUUAAUCGGAAUUACUKGGCGUAAAGCGUGCGCAGGCGGUUUUGUAAGUCAGAUGUGAAAUCCCCSGGCUCAACCUGGGAACUGCGUUUGAAACUACAAGGCUAGAGUGUAGCAGAGGGGGGUGGAAUUCCACGUGUAGCAGUGAAAUGCGUAGAGAUGUGGAGGAACACCGAUGGCGAAGGCAGCCCCCUGGGCUAACACUGACGCUCAGGCACGAAACCGUGGGGAGCGAACAGGAUUAGAUACCCUGGUAGUCCACGCCCUAAACGAUGUCAACUAGUUGUCGGGUCUUAACGGGCUUGGUAACGCAGCUAACSCGUGAAGUUGACCSCCUGGGGAGUASGGUCGCAAGAUUAAAACUCAAAGCMAUUGACGGGGACCCCCACAAGSGGUGGAUUAUGUGGAUUAAUUCGAUGCAACGCAAAAAACCUUACCUACCCUUGACAUGUACCGAAGUCCGCUGAGAGGUGGAUGUGCCCGAAAGGGAACGGCAACACAGGUGCUGCAUGGCUGUCGUCAGCUCGUGUCGUGAGAUGUUGGGUUAAGUCCCGCAACGAGCGCAACGCUUGUCAUUAAUUGCCAUCAUUCAGUUGGGCACUUUAAUGAGACUGCCGGUGACAAACCGGAGGAAGGCGGGGAUGACGUCAAGUCCUCAUGGCCCUUAUGGGUAGGGCUUCACACGUAAUACAAUCGCG